GGCCUCGAACUCAGAAAUCUGCCUGCCUCUGCCUCCUGAGUGCUGGGAUUAAAGGCGUGUGCCACCAUGCCCGGCUAGGUAUGAUUUCUAAAUAGAUUAAGCUCACAAUUCGACUCUAGGAUUUGUGUUUAUGUUAGAUACAGCAAAUGUACAUGAGCACUGUUCUAUCUUUCCUGUCCGUUUCUUCAGUGUUCUCCCACAGAACACUGAAGUUCCCACAGUGUUCUCUCUCUCUGUGGGAGAACACUGAAGAAAAGUGUGAUUACAGAAACUUUUCAUUUUCAGUGAAAGAUGACAGCUGGAGAUAAUACAUUGUAUGAGUCACCUAACAAGGGAAAUACUUUUAGAACUGAACAACAAAGACAACAACUUAAAUUCCUUAAUAGGUUUUUCUGUUUUGUUUUGUAUUUUUAAGCUCACCUGUCCAGUUCCAGAUGUGCACUUAGUUGACAAUGAUCUCUGAAGAGGUGACUUUGAAUUUGCUCUUACAAUAUCUAAGCGAGAUGGAUAAUCUGAUAGAUACAGAGAAUUUCGGAAAACCUAUUGCAAUAUAAAACAACAUUUUAAAUUGAAUACUAAAUGAACAUCUAGGAAAUGGUACAAGCCUCAAGUGUGUGUCUCAAGUAGCCUUGAGAACAAAGCAUUAAGAAUCACGAUGUGAUAGACUUUUAAGAGUGGAUUCCCACCUGUGCUGAAAAAAGAGCUGUCAGACCCCUGGGAAGUUUCUUUACUAUAUUUCAGUUUUAAGGGAGGAAAUAAGUAUUUUUACUAAAGUUGAUGGACCAACUAGUAUAGUUAAAAUACAUAGAUCUGUGCAAAGCAAUGAUUACUAAAUAUUUGCUAUUUUAUAAUUGGCUUGUAAAAGUUCAGUUCAAUAAUCUUUUAUUAACACAUGGAAAUGAGUGAGAAUAAAAUACUAGCUUGAGUACUUGGAGCAGUCAUCUUUAACCAAGUAUAAUAGAAAAUCACAAAAGAGCAGUACUUUGGGUUACACAUGAUAAUACAGACCAUUACCAUAUAAACUGAAGCUAUAAAACAUCUGCACACUAACAACUGAGUGUAGAUCUAGGCCUACCUCUAGGUCUUCAUCCUCAUCAAUGUUUUGUAUAUUUUGGUAGGCAGCAGUGAAGACCUCUAAGGCUUUUCCAUGAAAUAACAUUUCAAUUGUGAUGAACUCAGAUAAUAUGUUCUGAAAAACAAAAAGAUUGGAAUUUUAAAAAGUGUUUUUUAAAAGUUUGUAUGUAUUUAAGAGCCACAGAGUUUUAUUCUCCAUUAUAUAGUAUAGUCUUAGUAUUCUGUACUACUAAGACCUGGUUUUUGGACAGGAGAAAACAUAACUGAAAUAAAGGCUUUCUACAGCAAAAUACUUAAAUUGUGCAAAGUGUUGCUAUACUCACUAUUCACUGUUUCUUUUUUUAAAAUUACUUGUAUGAAGAUAACUAAAUUGUACACAACUAUAUAAACCAGUAUUACAUGCCUAUAAAUAUUUGUGUUAAAAAAUUUGAAACUGAUAAAAGACUCACUUCUGCAAAUAGACAUGAAAGUGACCAACAGUAUUUCUUACUUGAUGAUGAAGGUCACAGGGGACUCUGUGGUACUAGCAUGUACAACUGAUUAUCAUAAUGAAUAGCCCUAUGUUUAGAUACCAUUUGGAAUUUCAUAUUAACACUUCCAGAGAUGUACAGGGACACCUUAAGAGAGAUCGCAUGGCUUCUGCUAAGAGUAGGAGUUAAUUCCUUAAUUUUUAGUUUCCCUAAGAUAGGGUAAAAAAAAAAAAAUCCACAAAGGAAUGAUGUUAUUGUGCUACUAUAUAAGGACAUGAUCAGAUCAAUAAGACUAGAAAAAUGAAGCAUUUCAACAAAGUUGCCCACCAAAGUCAUUUGCAGGGUAUCCAAAAAGAAUGAACGUAAAAAUGAGCUUCACGUGCUUGUUAGAGUGAAGUGACCAAAUGAUUAGAGGAACGCUCAGAGACAGCACCAUUGAUCUGGCCAUGGAGAUUUAGCUGGGACUCUAAACCACAAGCUACACAAGAAACUGAAUAGAUCUCCCUAAAAUUGAAAUCAAAUGAACUAUCACAGCACCUAGAAAAUAACUUAGUUUUGCAUGCUUACAUUGGUCAAUCUCUUUUAUUACAUCAUUAAUCCUGUGAUAAGAUGCAGAAGUAGCACCAUAGUCCGUAAUAGGUAAGCUUCACAAACCAUCUCUGAGAAAUUUCUAUUCUGCACUUGAUAUCACCAGUGAAAUGCUUUCUAAAGAGGCAUCUGGUUAAUUAUGCAAAUAAUGGUUUGUGAUAAUUGGUCCAGUUUUACAAACAACAGAAUUUUAAAUAGGGGAAGUUAAUAAAGGAGACACCUCCCGUGCUGUGUGUUCUUUGAAAGUAAUUGAUAAACUACAAAUAAGUAGGAUGCCCUGUGCCUCAGCAGCAAUGCCCACCCAGAGCCCUUGGAGUUUUUGUCAUGCCCAGCUUUCUUGUUAGUAUUUGUAUGUUGGGAGCGAUCCUGUUUAACUGCCUUGUCAGCCAUAAGUGCUUACUUAACAAAGUCUUGGCCUUAGUGGAAAAGUACUAGCUUAUGUUGAGAUUUCUGUGGGAAAAGUUGAGGCCUCUGUAGGAAAGUACUACCCCCAGUUUAGAACAAAUAGCUAUAGAUCUUGUGGAUGGUUACCUAGUAACCCACUCAGUUCUGUUCCUCCUGCUGAACUUUUUACCUAGCCAAUAUCCUGCUUUUGGGAACAGGUGUGUUCCCCCAGAAACAAAGCGAUUCUGCAUCAUCCCUCUCCCCAUAUCCUGCUUCUAUGGGUAUAAAACCUGCCUGGGAAAAAUAAAAUUUGUCAGCUUGAUCAGUCA
Mus musculus (house mouse) is the source of this 2845-nucleotide long non-coding RNA. RefSeq annotates it as predicted gene, 46845. The record is from RefSeq and is a predicted model, not a curated record. Lineage: Eukaryota; Metazoa; Chordata; Mammalia; Rodentia; Muridae. The transcript is spliced from 2 exons.